This is a non-coding RNA of Anas platyrhynchos (mallard), 1016 nucleotides long. The record is from RefSeq and is a predicted model, not a curated record. NCBI's taxonomy places the organism in Eukaryota, Metazoa, Chordata, Aves, Anseriformes, Anatidae.
CUGACGUGUGUGGGGGAGACACCUUUUUGCUUAAGUUAGUCAGUCAGUUAUGGAAAUCCCCUGUGCAAAAUAUCUGUGCCAACAUAAAAGUCAUGGAUAAACCAGGCACAAAACACAGGUGGAUUUAAUCAUUCCCUCGCAGCUUUUACAAUCCUCACACUUCAACUAAAUUAAAAAAAAAAAAAAGACCCCCACAUCGUCAUCAGAAGUUUAUUUUACAGAAGUAAAGCGGGUUCCCCUCCCAACAGCGAGCGGCCGAGUCAGGCAGCGGCCGAGUGCGCCCCUCUAACUGACUGACUGACCAACCGCCAACGGCGACCAACCGCCCCCAGCAACCGCCCGCGGCGGUCGGGGCCGCUCCUCCUCCGCGCCUCGCGCCGACCCCAGCCCCAGGUCAGGUCCGGCUGAGGCUCCACGCCCCGCCGGGGCAGCGCCCGCUCACAGGCCUGAGGGCGGGGUGCCACCGAUCUUGCCCAGGAACGACUCGUCUUUUUUCAUCCUGUGGGGCCGCAGCGUCGGCGAGCGGAUGGGAGCAGAGGACAUGGGUUUCGACUUGGGAAAGGGAGUACCGAGGCAGCCGGCCCGAGCCCCGCCGUGCCCUGUGCGGGAGUGUGGAGCGUCCCGCGAAGCCGAACAAAGCUCUGCGAGAGGCGAGGAAGGGGAAAGCUCCCGUCUGGCCGCGGUGGGGAGCAGGGGGCGUGCGAGCCUCGGAGGCGCGGAGGACAGGGGGCGGGGUGGGAGCCGCUGCCGCCGGACACAGCGUUCUUCCACGGCGGCGAAGGCCGCGGGCGGCGGGGGCGGGACGACAUGGCCAUGCGACGCGGGUGGCGCCCGCUCCGGUGGAUUGUACCGGGCACCCGGAGAGCCUCGAGGAUAAAAAAUGAAUAAAUAAAAACAUUUGAGGUUUCAAAUGUUCAAAUUUGAGGAGGAGAGCUGUUCUGAUAGGGGUUAGAAAAGGGGGGGGUGAACGGACUGCAGCUGUAGCUUCCCCUCCCGGUGCAGGGUGUGAGGGGCUC